Molecule: ribosomal RNA, 279 nt
Filed under: uncultured bacterium
Lineage: Bacteria
Description: partial 16S ribosomal RNA
Rfam family: Bacterial small subunit ribosomal RNA
Source: RNAcentral
UGCCAGCCGCCGCGGUAAUACGGAGGGCUCAAACGUUGUUCGGAAUCACUGGGCAUAAAGCGCACGUAGGCGGCCUAUCAAGUCAGAUGUGAAAGCCCCCGGCCCAACCGGGGAACUGCAUCUGAAACUGGUAGGCUCGAGGAUGGCAGGGGUGAGUGGAACUCCAGGUGGAACGGUGAAAUGUGUAGAUAUCUGGAGGAACACCGGUGGCGAAAGCGGCUCACUGGGCCAUCACUGACGCUGAGGUGCGAAAGCUAGGGUAGCAAACGGGAUUAGAUA